CCUGGCUCAGGAUGAACGCUAGCUACAGGCUUAACACAUGCAAGUCGAGGGGCAGCAUGGUCUUAGCUUGCUAAGGCCGAUGGCGACCGGCGCACGGGUGAGUAACACGUAUCCAACCUGCCGUCUACUCUUGGACAGCCUUCUGAAAGGAAGAUUAAUACAAGAUGGCAUCAUGAGUCCGCAUGUUCACAUGAUUAAAGGUAUUCCGGUAGACGAUGGGGAUGCGUUCCAUUAGAUAGUAGGCGGGGUAACGGCCCACCUAGUCUUCGAUGGAUAGGGGUUCUGAGAGGAAGGUCCCCCACAUUGGAACUGAGACACGGUCCAAACUCCUACGGGAGGCAGCAGUGAGGAAUAUUGGUCAAUGGGCGAGAGCCUGAACCAGCCAAGUAGCGUGAAGGAUGACUGCCCUAUGGGUUGUAAACUUCUUUUAUAAAGGAAUAAAGUCGGGUAUGGAUACCCGUUUGCAUGUACUUUAUGAAUAAGGAUCGGCUAACUCCGUGCCAGCAGCCGCGGUAAUACGGAGGAUCCGAGCGUUAUCCGGAUUUAUUGGGUUUAAAGGGAGCGUAGAUGGAUGUUUAAGUCAGUUGUGAAAGUUUGCGGCUCAACCGUAAAAUUGCAGUUGAUACUGGAUAUCUUGAGUGCAGUUGAGGCAGGCGGAAUUCGUGGUGUAGCGGUGAAAUGCUUAGAUAUCACGAAGAACUCCGAUUGCGAAGGCAGCCUGCUAAGCUGCAACUGACAUUGAGGCUCGAAAGUGUGGGUAUCAAACAGGAUUAGAUACCCUGGUAGUCCACACGGUAAACGAUGAAUACUCGCUGUUUGCGAUAUACUGCAAGCGGCCAAGCGAAAGCGUUAAGUAUUCCACCUGGGGAGUACGCCGGCAACGGUGAAACUCAAAGGAAUUGACGGGGGCCCGCACAAGCGGAGGAACAUGUGGUUUAAUUCGAUGAUACGCGAGGAACCUUACCCGGGCUUAAAUUGCAGAUGAAUUACGGUGAAAGCCGUAAGCCGCAAGGCAUCUGUGAGGGUGCUGCAUGGUUGUCGUCAGCUCGUGCCGUGAGGUGUCGGCUUAAGUGCCAUAACGAGCGCAACCCUUGUUGUCAGUUACUAACAGGUUCCGCUGAGGACUCUGACAAGACUGCCAUCGUAAGAUGUGAGGAAGGUGGGGAUGACGUCAAAUCAGCACGGCCCUUACGUCCGGGGCUACACACGUGUUACAAUGGGGGGUACAGAGGGCCGCUACCACGCGAGUGGAUGCCAAUCCCCAAAACCUCUCUCAGUUCGGACUGGAGUCUGCAACCCGACUCCACGAAGCUGGAUUCGCUAGUAAUCGCGCAUCAGCCACGGCGCGGUGAAUACGUUCCCGGGCCUUGUACACACCGCC
This 1381-nucleotide ribosomal RNA is filed under the name uncultured bacterium. Its description in RNAcentral is "bacterial SSU rRNA". It matches the Rfam family "Bacterial small subunit ribosomal RNA", at positions 18 to 1394 of the family's 1533-position model. The record is from RNAcentral.